AGUGAACGCUGGCGGUAGGCCUAACACAUGCAAGUCGAACGGCAGCACAGUAAGAGCUUGCUCUUACGGGUGGCGAGUGGCGGACGGGUGAGGAAUACAUCGGAAUCUACUUUUUCGUGGGGGAUAACGUAGGGAAACUUACGCUAAUACCGCAUACGACCUACGGGUGAAAGCAGGGGAUCUUCGGACCUUGCGCGAUUGAAUGAGCCGAUGUCGGAUUAGCUAGUUGGCGGGGUAAAGGCCCACCAAGGCGACGAUCCGUAGCUGGUCUGAGAGGAUGAUCAGCCACACGGGAACUGAGACACGGUCCAGACUCCUACGGGAGGCAGCAGAGGGGAAUAUUGGACAAUGGGCGCAAGCCUGAUCCAGCCAUACCGCGUGGGUGAAGAAGGCCUUCGGGUUGUAAAGCCCUUUUGUUGGGAAAGAAAAGCAGCAGGUUAAUACCCCGCUGUUCUGACGGUACCCAAAGAAUAAGCACCGGCUAACUUCGUG
This 492-nucleotide ribosomal RNA is filed under the name uncultured bacterium. Its description in RNAcentral is "partial 16S ribosomal RNA". It matches the Rfam family "Bacterial small subunit ribosomal RNA", at positions 29 to 507 of the family's 1533-position model. The record is from RNAcentral.